GAUCCUGGCUCAGGAUGAACGCUGGCGGCGUGCCUAACACAUGCAAGUUGAGCGAUUUACUUCGGUAAAGAGCGGCGGACGGGUGAGUAACGCGUGGGUAACCUACCCUGUACACACGGAUAACAUACCGAAAGGUAUGCUAAUACGGGAUAAUAUAUUUGAGAGGCAUCUCUUGAAUAUCAAAGGUGAGCCAGUACAGGAUGGACCCGCGUCUGAUUAGCUAGUUGGUAAGGUAACGGCUUACCAAGGCGACGAUCAGUAGCCGACCUGAGAGGGUGAUCGGCCACAUUGGAACUGAGACACGGUCCAAACUCCUACGGGAGGCAGCAGUGGGGAAUAUUGCACAAUGGGCGAAAGCCUGAUGCAGCAACGCCGCGUGAGUGAUGAAGGCCUUCGGGUCGUAAAACUCUGUCCUCAAGGAAGAUAAUGACGGUACUUGAGGAGGAAGCCCCGGCUAACUACGUGCCAGCAGCCGCGGUAAUACGUAGGGGGCUAGCGUUAUCCGGAUUUACUGGGCGUAAAGGGUGCGUAGG
RNAcentral lists this ribosomal RNA (533 nucleotides) under Clostridioides difficile. RNAcentral's name for it is "bacterial SSU rRNA". It matches the Rfam family "Bacterial small subunit ribosomal RNA", at positions 15 to 575 of the family's 1533-position model. Lineage: Bacteria; Bacillati; Bacillota; Clostridia; Peptostreptococcales; Peptostreptococcaceae. The record is from RNAcentral.